AUACGUAGGGGGCGAGCGUUGUCCGGAAUGAUUGGGCGUAAAGGGCGCGUAGGCGGCCCGGUAAGUCUGGAGUGAAAGCCCUGUUUUUAAGAUGGGAAUUGCUUUGGAUACUGUCGGGCUUGAGUGCAGGAGAGGUAAGUGGAAUUCCCAGUGUAGCGGUGAAAUGCGUAGAGAUUGGGAGGAACACCAGUGGCGAAGGCGACUUACUGGACUGUAACUGACGCUGAGGCGCGAAAGUGUGGGGAGCAAACAGGAUUAGAUACCCUGGUAGUCCACACUGUAAACGAUGAAUGCUAGGUGUAGGGGGUAUCGACCCCUUCUGUGCCGCAGUCAACACAAUAAGCAUUCCGCCUGGGGAGUACGGCCGCAAGGUUGAAACUCAAAUGAAUUGGCGGGG
This 397-nucleotide ribosomal RNA is filed under the name uncultured bacterium. RNAcentral's name for it is "partial 16S ribosomal RNA". It matches the Rfam family "Bacterial small subunit ribosomal RNA", at positions 523 to 918 of the family's 1533-position model. The record is from RNAcentral.